Non-coding RNA from Acanthosepion pharaonis, 100 nucleotides. The record is from the annotation of a GenBank genome assembly. Lineage: Eukaryota; Metazoa; Mollusca; Cephalopoda; Sepiida; Sepiidae.
AGUGUUGAAACACUGGUUCCCAUUGAUCACCGAAGUUAAGCAACAUUGAACCUGGUCAGUACCUAGAUGGGUGACUGCUUGGGAAUACCAAUUGCUGUCA